AGUCAGCACAUCCAAAAUGGAUUUUUUUUUAUGUCUUUUUUUUUGAGACAGAGUCUCACUCAGUUGCUCAGGCUGGAGUGCAGAGGUGCGAUCUCGGCUCACUGCAACCUCCACCUCAAGCGAUUCUGGUGCCUCAGCCUCCUGGGUAGCUGGGACCACUGGCAUGAGCCACCAUGCCUGGUUAAUUGUGUGUGUGUGUGUGUGUGUGUAUUUUCAGUAGAGAUGGGGUUUCACCAUGUUGCCCAGGCUGGUCUGGAACUCCUGGCCUCAAGUGAUCUGUCCCCACCGUGGCCUCCUUAAGUCCUGGGAUUACAGGUGUGAGCCACCGUGCCCAGUACCCAAGUGGAUUUCAUAAUUUAUUCCCAAAUCUAUUUCUUCUCCUCUGUGCCUAGAAAAGUCAAUGGCACCAUUAACCUCAAACUUAACCAGGUCAGAAUUUUUGUGUCUCCUCCCCCUUUUCUCUAGCUGCCAAUCCCAGUGACCCAUCAGUUUUAUUCAUGAGGCUAUUCCCGAUCUCAUGCUAUACACCAGGCCUUCAUUAUCACUUGCUUCAACCACAGGUGAUCCUCAGUGAUAUAGUCUGAUUUUAAAUUUACAUUUUCAAACAUUGUAGUUUACUCUUUCAAAUCAUUUUUUUUUUUCAUAUGCCAAGUUGGGACUUGAAAGUCUUUUUUUUUUAGACAGAGUCUCACUCUGUCCCCCAGGCUGGAGUGCAGUGACACAGUCUCGGCUCACUGCAACCUUCACCUUCACCUCCUGGGUUCAAGCGAUUUUCCCGCCUCAGCCUCCCAAGUAGCUGGGAGUACAGGCACCCACCACGCCAUCAGGCUAAUUUUUGUACUUUUAGUAGAGGCGGGGUUUCACCGUAUUGGUCAGGCUGGUUUCGAACUCCUGACCUCAAAUAAUCCACCCACCUUGGCCUCCCAAAUGCUGGGAUUAUAGGAGUGAGCCAUGGCGCCUGGCCUUAAAAGUCUUAUAUCACUUUUUCACAUGACAAGUUUAGAUUUCAUAAUCAGCUGAUGAAUAAAUACUUUCAGUCCAUGCACAGUCUGUGCCAUCUGAUACCUCUGUUUCAGCAAAGUAAUCACUUCUAUCUAUAAAGCAUUGUUUGUGCAAUAUUUUAAUAGGAUUAAUAGGCUCAAAUGAACCACAGAUCUGUCAACUGCACUUGCAGUCUGGCCACUCUUGUAACAAAUAUUCAUUUCAUUAAGCACCUUUAAUAUGACAAAUGAUGUGCUAAGUACCAAGUACUUUGUCAUAGUGACAAAGCAGACACUCUUACCCUCAUGGAAUUUGUACUAUAUAUUGUGGGUAAAAAGGGAUCCAAUAAAUAAACUCCCCAAAAAUAUAUGGCUGGUGUUAUUUAUCUUGAUAGGUGUUAGUACAUAGUCUUAAUAAUUAUCAAUAAUAUAUUACUAUAUGUAUUUAACAUAUUGUACUGUAGGCCCAAUAUCUUUCAGUGCAAAAAUACUCAGCUGAAAUACGUUUUUCAUUUCAAAUACUUAUCUAUAUUGAUUACAACAUUUAAUUUAGUGUUUUACUUUCCAUUUCCAAAUAUUCUUUCAUCAAUAUUAUCUGUUCUUUUCAUCAUAAAUAUAUUUAUUUCAUCUAUUAGUAUUUUCUAUAAUCUAUAUUUUAAGUCAUUUCAGCUCUUUUUAUAUUUCUUAAACCUUUUAAAAGCAUAAUUGUAUGCUGAAAGUGGGUGAGGUUUUAAAACUAAGUGCCUAAGACAUAAUAUAAAUACUUUAUUGUUCUCUACUACAUUAAAAAGUGGUAACCUAUUUAAUUCACAUGCCAUGGUCAAAUUUUAAUUUCAAUAAUAUGACACAAAUAAAUACUCAGAAAUGCUGACAAAUCUUAUCACCUGUGAAACUCAAAUGUUUUCAGGGGUCAUGAAGAUAGCAUACUUGUCUCAUCCAAUGACUUUCAAAUUCAUCCUUCUUUAAAAUGUUGUGCUGGACUUUGGAGACACAAAUGUGGCCUUCCAGAGUGACAGGCCUUAUAACAAUCCUUGUAACAAUUACUACUUUAUUUUUACCUGUUAAUAUUUAUAUAUUAAUAAACCCAACUGAACCUAAGAGAAUAUCUAAGACAAGUACAUUUGUGUAUGUGUGUGCCUUCAUGUAUGUGAUUUUUAUAUACAUGAUGAACUGUCUUAAUUAUAAAGAAAAGGAAAAAAACAUGAUGCUAUGAGAAAAAAAUGAACAUUCAACUGAGCAGAGCAGAAGAUAUUUUUAUAUUUCCUGAUACAAAAAUCUAACUUCAGUUCCCGUCUGGCAGAGAGCGCGGAGAGACGCAGAACGCAGCCCGCUCCUCCAGGGCCCUCCAGGCCCUCCGGACCCGGGCCGGCGGGUGAACUGGGGGGCCCCGGGACAGGCCGAGGCCUCUGCCCUGCAGACACCGGAGGCCGCUGCUGUGGCUGCCCACUGGCUGUGCCCAGGCCUUGAAGCCGCAGCGAACCUCUCUUUCCCACCCCACCUGGAUGACUGAUGGCGGCGGCUGCGUCUCCCCGACGGGACCCCGCCGGCCGCCGGGUCUCCCGACCCAAGCCUGCCGGGCCUCGACGAAACCCCCGCAGAGUCGCUGGGACGCAGCGCCUUUGGGCGGCGCCGGGCGUGGUGGGCCGGAAAGUAUGGCGGCCGCUUGAACGCCGCGCGGCGGAGGCCAUUAAGGCGUGGAGGGCCCGGGAAGGCGGCCUAGGGACGCAAGCAGGCUCGGCCGCCUCUUUAGGCCACGGAGCUGCGCAGAUCCGGUUCCCGGGUGACCACUCUGUCGCCAUUGGGCGAGACCUACCUAGUCCUGACGACAACGGACAAAGGCCUUAAGGGGCCUGGAAGGGAUAUGAUAUUGAAGCACGUGACAAGUUGGUGAUUUCAGCAGUGGUUUCUCCUGUCUAUAGAAACUCUUCAGCAGAUGGCAAUUUUCCACCUUCCUGUAUAAAACCAGAAUCCUCUCACCUGGCAGAAAUCUUUCUCUCCAGAUGCUGCAAAGCCAGCACAGAUCAUCUUCUCUGUGAUCCCUCCUGGAUGGGCAGAAUAAAAGAAGAGGGGCUGAAGCGGAUGCUGCUUGAUAUCAUUUACAUGACCUAUUUUCAAAAAUAACAACUGGCAUUAAUGUUUAUGCAACAAAAAUAUGCUUACCUGCACU
Molecule: RNA transcript, 3147 nt
Organism: Pan troglodytes (chimpanzee)
Lineage: Eukaryota; Metazoa; Chordata; Mammalia; Primates; Hominidae
Exons: 3
Source: RefSeq, a predicted model, not a curated record